UACGCUUUCCGUUCCAGAGAAAAAGUCGCUAACACUAAAUGGGACAAAAAGCUCGAGAUCUCUGCGUGAAUCCAGUCUGAGAGGUGGAACGCAGAUUUCGCGAUGAAAAUUUCGCGGAAAUGCAAACGCGUUGGUUACGGCAGUCCGGCGACAACUUCGGGCACUCGAUCGCCCCCGUGGUCUCGGCCGCGCGACCGUCGAACGACGGGGAGGACCCGACCGGCGCCACCGCGACCUCAUCAGGUGCGAGGGAGUAGCACCGAACGGACCGAGACCUCGGCGCGAUGGGCGGCAACAAGGGCAAGGGAGGCGGGGGAAGGGGCGGAAGGGGCG
This 333-nucleotide long non-coding RNA is filed under the name Micromonas commoda. RNAcentral's name for it is "long non-coding RNA (MCOM_LNC000112)". Lineage: Eukaryota; Viridiplantae; Chlorophyta; Mamiellophyceae; Mamiellales; Mamiellaceae. The record is from RNAcentral.